Long non-coding RNA from Halichondria panicea, 1131 nucleotides. RefSeq lists it as uncharacterized. NCBI's taxonomy places the organism in Eukaryota, Metazoa, Porifera, Demospongiae, Suberitida, Halichondriidae. The transcript has 4 exons. The record is from RefSeq and is a predicted model, not a curated record.
AAAAACAGGGUGUUAAUCAACACACUAAAUUUUAUUGGUGAAUGUCAGUGUGUGUUAAUGAGCACCCCAGUGUUCACUAACACACGAAGUAGGUUAACAGAACACACCAACUAAGUAGUGUGUAACGUAACACACACACACACUUCACUCAAGUGGUGUAAAGGAACACACUGAUACCCUAGGCCCAACUGUAAUUCAUACACACUACGCUUUUUACACCACUGUACAGGCAAAACAGCCCAGAGAUUAUGUCACAAUUAUAAAACUUAUAAUCGAUAACAACAAAUAUCCACGCAACAAACUUUUAUGGAUGACCAUUAAACAAAAACAUAUUAAAGGUUUCAAGUUACUAUAGCAGUUAAUCUUGUGAGUAAACCACAGCCAGCUGCACCUGCACAGAGAAUUAUAUGAGUAUGAGCACAGUGGUGUAAUAAUACUACAUUUCAAUGCUGCUAUAACAAAUGGGAGCCAGCUAAGAGAAAAUCAGUUCAUAUAAUAUUAUAAUUUAUAUAGCUUGGUCCAGUUUAUAAAAUUGACAAUGGGGACUUGAAAGAAUUUGCAUACUGUAGAUCAACUUCUUAACUUAUCUUUAGUAUAUAUCCUGCUGUUCUCUUGGCUCUCAGAGCAGCCUGGAAAGACUACUGCUGCAUUCUCUGUCUCAUCUUGUGCCAUGUGGCCACUGGCUCUGGAUCACAUGAUCAGUUUUCCUGCUAUCUAAUUAUAGAACAUAAUUAUAGACUAAUUAUAGAAUGCGCAUGCGCAGCAGUGCAGUUGCCGUAGCAAUCUUCAAAGCAGCUGCUUUUCUAUUAUUUCUUGUCCACGUACCAAGUCUAGUCCUGAUCCUUUGAGAAGUCUUUAGACCUGUACUGUUCUAUGCAUUCAGAGCUCAAGGGGAAGAGAAGUUUUCAAGUCAUAAACUAAAAAAACAAACUUCAAAACGUUGGGCAUUAAGUUGAAGGUCAAUUUCCAGCCACUCUAAAGCUGUUGUGAUGCUACAAUUUAGAGCUCUAAAGGAGAGCAGAAGUAUCAAGUCAUCAGCACAAAAGAAAAAAGGUCCGUCAUAAAGUUGGUCAAUCACUCUGAAGCUGAUUGUAACGCUGCUGUUUAGGUGAGAAAUUGAUUGAUUUUGUU